RNAcentral lists this transfer RNA (73 nucleotides) under Camelus bactrianus (Bactrian camel). It matches the Rfam family "tRNA". Rfam says of the family: Transfer RNA (tRNA) molecules are approximately 80 nucleotides in length. Their secondary structure includes four short double-helical elements and three loops (D, anti-codon, and T loops). Further hydrogen bonds mediate the characteristic L-shaped molecular structure. tRNAs have two regions of fundamental functional importance: the anti-codon, which is responsible for specific mRNA codon recognition, and the 3' end, to which the tRNAs corresponding amino acid is attached (by aminoacyl-tRNA synthetases). tRNAs cope with the degeneracy of the genetic code in two manners: having more than one tRNA (with a specific anti-codon) for a particular amino acid; and 'wobble' base-pairing, i.e. permitting non-standard base-pairing at the 3rd anti-codon position. The record is from Rfam by way of RNAcentral. Lineage: Eukaryota; Metazoa; Chordata; Mammalia; Artiodactyla; Camelidae. RNAcentral also lists the same sequence under 2 other names.
GAGGGUACAGCUCAAGUCGUAGAGCGCAUGCUUAGCAUGCAUGACGUCCUAGGUUCAAUCCUCAGUACCACCA